GUAACCUGCCUCAAAGAGGGGGAUAGCCUCCCGAAAGGGAGAUUAAUACCGCAUAAGACCUGAAUUCGCAUGAAUUCGGGAUAAAAGGAGAAAUCCGCUUUGAGAUGGACCCGCGGCGCAUUAGCUAGUUGGUGGGGUAGAAGCUUACCAAGGCAACGAUGCGUAGCCGACCUGAGAGGGUGAUCGGCCACAUUGGAACUGAGAUACGGUCCAGACUCCUACGGGAGGCAGCAGUGGGGAAUAUUGCACAAUGGGCGAAAGCCUGAUGCAGCAACGCCGCGUGAGUGAUGAAGGUCUUCGGAUUGUAAAGCUCUGUCUUCUGGGACGAUAAUGACGGUACCAGAGGAGGAAGCCACGGCUAACUACGUGCCAGCAGCCGCGGUAAUACGUAGGAGGCGAGCGUUGUCCGGAUUUACUGGGCGUAAAGGGUGCGUAGGCGGAUGUUUAAGUGAUAUGUGAAAUACCCGGGCUUAACCUGGGUGCUGCAUUUCAAACUGGAUAUCUGGAGUGCAGGAGAGGAGAACGGAAUUCCUAGUGUAGCGGUGAAAUGCGUAGAGAUUAGGAAGAACACCAGUGGCGAAGGCGGUUCUCUGGACUGUAACUGACGCUGAGGCACGAAAGCGUGGGUAGCAAACAGGAUUAGAUACCCUGGUAGUCCACGCCGUAAACGAUGAGUACUAGGUGUAGGAGGUAUCGACCCCUUCUGUGCCGCAGUAAACACAAUAAGUACUCCGCCUGGGAAGUACGAUCGCAAGAUUAAAACUCAA
RNAcentral lists this ribosomal RNA (767 nucleotides) under uncultured bacterium. RNAcentral describes it as "bacterial SSU rRNA". It matches the Rfam family "Bacterial small subunit ribosomal RNA", at positions 121 to 904 of the family's 1533-position model. The record is from RNAcentral.